This 107-nucleotide small nucleolar RNA is filed under the name Ascochyta rabiei. RNAcentral describes it as "Didymella rabiei Small nucleolar RNA snR60/Z15/Z230/Z193/J17". It matches the Rfam family "Small nucleolar RNA snR60/Z15/Z230/Z193/J17". From Rfam's summary of the family: The members of this family belong to the C/D class of snoRNAs which contain the C (UGAUGA) and D (CUGA) box motifs. Most of the members of the box C/D family function in directing site-specific 2'-O-methylation of substrate RNAs. Lineage: Eukaryota; Fungi; Ascomycota; Dothideomycetes; Pleosporales; Didymellaceae. The record is from Rfam by way of RNAcentral.
CUCCUUUUAUGAUGAUACCACAUACAUAAGCAUAGUUCAGCCGAAGGUCUACUAGGCCAUUGUGGAAACAAAUCAGCAACGUCUUUCGCUCCUAUCUGAUAUAUCUC